UACGAAGGGGGCUAGCGUUGUUCGGAAUCACUGGGCGUAAAGGGCGCGUAGGCGGGUUGUUAAGUCAGGGGUGAAAUCCUGGAGCUCAACUCCAGAACUGCCUUUGAUACUGAGGAUCUUGAGUUCGGGAGAGGUGAGUGGAACUGCGAGUGUAGAGGUGAAAUUCGUAGAUAUUCGCAAGAACACCAGUGGCGAAGGCGGCUCACUGGCCCGAUACUGACGCUGAGGCGCGAAAGCGUGGGGAGCAAACAGG
This 253-nucleotide ribosomal RNA is filed under the name uncultured bacterium. RNAcentral describes it as "partial 16S ribosomal RNA". It matches the Rfam family "Bacterial small subunit ribosomal RNA", at positions 524 to 776 of the family's 1533-position model. The record is from RNAcentral.